RNAcentral lists this ribosomal RNA (680 nucleotides) under uncultured bacterium. Its description in RNAcentral is "bacterial SSU rRNA". It matches the Rfam family "Bacterial small subunit ribosomal RNA", at positions 9 to 676 of the family's 1533-position model. The record is from RNAcentral.
GAGUUUGAUCAUGGCUCAGGACGAACGCUGGCGGCGCGCUUAACACAUGCAAGUCGAGCGAGAACCAGGGCUUCGGCCCUGGGGACAGCGGCGAACGGGUGAGUAACACGUGGAUAACCUGCCCUCGGCACCGGGAUAGCCCGGGGAAACCCGGAUUAAUACCGGAUGGCCCUUCCGGCUCACGAGCCGGUCGGAAAAGGUAGCUUCGGCCUCCGGCCGAGGAUGGGUCCGCGGCGGAUUAGCUCGUUGGUGGGGUAACGGCCUACCAAGGCGACGAUCCGUAGCUGGUCUGAGAGGACGAUCAGCCACACUGGGACUGAGACACGGCCCAGACUCCUACGGGAGGCAGCAGUGGGGAAUCUUGCGCAAUGGGCGAAAGCCUGACGCAGCGACGCCGCGUGAGGGAGGAAGGCCUUCGGGUUGUAAACCUCUUUCAGGAGGGACGAAGCUACUCGGGUGAACAGCCCAGAGGGUGACGGUACCUCCAGAAGAAGCCCCGGCUAACUACGUGCCAGCAGCCGCGGUAAUACGUAGGGGGCAAGCGUUGUCCGGAUUUACUGGGCGUAAAGCGCGUGUAGGCGGCCACGCAGGUCCGUUGUGAAAACUGGAGGCUCAACCUCCAGACGUCGACGGAAACCGUGUGGCUAGAGUCCGGAAGAGGAGAGUGGAAUUCCUGGUGU